GAUGAAGAACGUAGCGAAAUGCGAUACGUAAUGUGAAUUGCAGAUUUUAGUGAAUCAUCGAAUCUUUGAACGCACAUUGCGCCCGCCAGUAUUCUGGCGGGCAUGCCUGUUCGAGCGUCAUUUCAACCAUCAAGCCUUCGCUUGUGUUGGGGCCCCGCGGCUGCCGCGGCCCCUAAAUCCAGUGGCGGGCUCGUCGUCGUACCGAGCGCAGUAGACAUCCUCGCUCCGGGAACCCGACGGGUGCCGGCCGUGAAACCCCCCCCAUCAAGGUUGACCUCGGAUCAGGUAGGAAUACCCGCUGAACUUAAGCAUAUCAAUAAGCGGAGGA
Molecule: unclassified non-coding RNA, 328 nt
Filed under: soil metagenome
Description: partial contains 5.8S ribosomal RNA, internal transcribed spacer 2, and large subunit ribosomal RNA
Rfam family: 5.8S ribosomal RNA (bases 1-120)
Source: RNAcentral